RNAcentral lists this ribosomal RNA (367 nucleotides) under uncultured soil bacterium. Its description in RNAcentral is "bacterial SSU rRNA". It matches the Rfam family "Bacterial small subunit ribosomal RNA", at positions 26 to 396 of the family's 1533-position model. The record is from RNAcentral.
AGAUUGAACGCUGGCGGCAGGCCUAACACAUGCAAGUCGAGCGGCAGCACGGGUACUUGUACCUGGUGGCGAGCGGCGGACGGGUGAGUAAUGCCUAGGAAUCUGCCUGGUAGUGGGGGAUAACGCUCGGAAACGGACGCUAAUACCGCAUACGUCCUACGGGAGAAAGCAGGGGACCUUCGGGCCUUGCGCUAUCAGAUGAGCCUAGGUCGAUUAGCUAGUUGGUGAGGUAAUGGCUCACCAAGGCGACGAUCCGUAACUGGUCUGAGAGAUGAUCAGUCACACUGAAACUGAGACACGGUCCAGACUCCUACGGGAGCAGCGAGGUAGGGAAUAGUGGAACUAGUGGACGAAGCCUGACUCCGAG